RNAcentral lists this microRNA (22 nucleotides) under Oreochromis niloticus (Nile tilapia). RNAcentral's name for it is "oni-miR-10800". Lineage: Eukaryota; Metazoa; Chordata; Actinopteri; Cichliformes; Cichlidae. The record is from miRBase by way of RNAcentral.
AAGGUGACAGUUGUUGUGGACA